UCAAACAGCUAUUGACUCUGUUAAUCCUCUUCCUGUGUGCCCAUCAGCCCGUAUCUGCCCCUGGUAGUCAUGGCGAGCCCUUGACAGCCUCUUCUUAGGGUCCAGGUCAGACUCUCUUCCACUGCCAUUUUAUUAUUGAUUCAAAGACUAUCCCGCUGUAAUUGUCAAGAGCAGAGAAGAGUUGACACCAUUGUCCGGGAACCUUAAAAAGAUUAGGAGCUCUGUCCACGGUUUUGUGCUGCAGUGGCUUUGAACAACUUACCCAAACAUUGACUAUCAAAGUAAUAAGAGAGGUGGAGACAAGUGAACCCUGGUACAUACUGGCAGCCAGCUACCUGAUUUGGAAAGAACACAAAGUCUGGGGAGACUAAACAACUUGCGAAGGUUACCCAGGUGCUAGUAAUGGAAAGGAACUUUAAGUCCUCAAACUGGGUCCAGUGACUCGCUCACCCCCAUCACUACCCAUGGAACAGAACCCAGGGGCUUGAUCAUUUCAUGCCAGGUAAGUGUACCAACAUUGAACUACAUCCCACCUCACACACCAUAUUUUAAACACUGCCUCCCAAAUGACUUAUUGUGAAAUCCCCUUGCAUCUUGUAAAUCACUUGUAAUUUGCUUAUUUUCUAAUAACUUCCCAAGAAGUAUCUUCUUAUUUGCUUGUAUAUUUGGGAGGGGGAGGCAUGCCAUCCGAGGGCAGAAGAGGGCACUGACUCCUACAGAACUGUGACCAUAGGUGGUUGCCAGAUGUCCAACGUGAGCGCUGAGAACCCAACUCAGGUCCUCUGUAAGAACAAGUGCCUUUGGCUGCUAAGCCAUAUCUGUACCCCCACCCCCACCCCUACCACCGCAAGUCUUCCUUCUUGGAGUUAAACAGGGUUUAUACUCAGAAAGAGAAGCAAAACAGCAACAUAUGCCUUUUCCUUUUGCUGCCUACCAGCUUGCCCAAGAGCCAUCCACCACGGCGGGCAGAGAAAGGGGCGUAGGUGUAUCUGGCAAAGCGACAGAGAGAAUGAUAGCCUUCCGAUUGCUUCAAGCUCAGCAAGCGCUUCAUAAAUGCUUACAUUUUUCCCCCAAACAGUCCUCUAUGUGCCUUCCCAUUCUAAAAAUAGGAAAACGGAAUUUACCAUUCCACAGCAGCGAGUUACAAAAUCCACUUUAUACCAGAUGCCUGAGCCGUCAGAGCCUGCGCGCUUCCCCUACCACCUCUUCCAUUGCCUCAAAUCAAUUUAAGUUAGAAAGAAAUGCCUGACUCUUCCAACCCACAAUCCCCAGCUCACCUUUCAGAACAGUUGCAAAGGCUUCAGUUUGGUUUUAAAAUUCAAUGAAGAAAUGUCAUGCUAGAGAUGUUCGGUUUCAAUCUCCGGGGUGGGGGAUUAUUUAGUCUGCUUCUCCGGGGAGCGUGUUCCAUUUGAUUUCAUUAAUCUGAAGUAAGCAACUCUCUCAUCUUUCUACACAACCUCACUUCCCUUCACUCAUUUACACUGAAGCAGAUUUCACUGCGGUCGGGCUUCUUCCUCCUCUAGGAGGGAGAUUUCCAUCGGCUAAUUGAAAGGAACACUGCUCUGUCCUCAGCAAAGCUAAAGACAUACAAUUUCACCACCAAGGCCGGGCGCAUUAUCAGUGUCCUGAUCUUUGGCCUUUGAUACUUUCAAGAGGUGUCCCAGGGGAAAUCUCUCUCUGGAAUGUUAAUCUGUUGCGUCCCUGACCUUCUACACGUGUACCACAUUAUUAUUAUUACAACCCACAUGCUUCUCUUUUCAUGCUGUCAUUUUGACAAUAGAACCAUCCGGCAAUUCAUCUUUUGACUGGAAGGCUGGAACAAGGUGCAGGGCGGUGAGUGGGAUCGGAUUGGCUAAUGGCAUUGUUUAAAAUGCAAUAACAUUUCUCUUCUGAAAUCCGCCCAGGUUUCAAAUGAUACGCUGCGCCCGCCUGUGGGAUGCACCGAGACAAUUAGCUACUGGUGAUUCAUCAAAGAGUCUCUGUGUGGGGAUUUUCUUUUUAACUUUUUUUAUUUUUUAUUUCUCCGCAUGCUCUUGGAACAUAAAUGAGUCCUGGAACUGGAUUGGUGUGGAUUUAUCGCUCAUGUUUCCUGUCGUUACCCUCUCUCUCCUCUCAUCUGGCAGGUGUUUGUUUUAGCUACAGAUUUAUUGAAAGUGGUGUGGGGGUGGGAACGUGUACAGCAAUACUGAGAGUCCAACCUUUAAAGACUGAUCAAAUUUCAAAUGUCACCUCCUCCUCACCUGGGCCUUCUUUUGACCACACCAUAUGACACAAGCUCUCCCUUGGUGGUAUUGCUCUAUUUUGAUCUAUUAUUGUCCCUUAUGUCUAUCAUCCCGUGACAUGGCAUAUUUAUUCCUGGAUUGGAAGUAGCCUGUACCUUCCAGAAGUGACUUUCAGCUGUUAACUUGGUCUGCUCACUACUGUCUCUGUGGGCAUGAGGACAGAGCAGGAGUGACACUCGUAUUCUACUGAAAGAUACUCAGACGGGAGAGCUCACAAAAAGCAUCAUAGGAGAAACAAAAGAUGGAAUUUAUUGAGGGGAGGGGGGUGCCACAUAGAGCCACGUGACAGAGACAUAGUGAUAGUCAGAGGCAGAAGACAGGAUGAAGGAGCACAUUAAGGCAAAUGAAUGAUUUAGGAAGUCGGAGGCUUUGUGAGGGACUGUGAACAAAAGGAUUGGCCCCAGCUGCUGGGCUCUGACCCCGAGAUGGUUGAAGCACAGAAAGAGUGCCU
Long non-coding RNA from Mus musculus (house mouse), 2733 nucleotides. RefSeq annotates it as predicted gene, 41730. The record is from RefSeq and is a predicted model, not a curated record. Lineage: Eukaryota; Metazoa; Chordata; Mammalia; Rodentia; Muridae. The transcript is spliced from 3 exons.